This 490-nucleotide ribosomal RNA is filed under the name uncultured bacterium. RNAcentral describes it as "partial 16S ribosomal RNA". It matches the Rfam family "Bacterial small subunit ribosomal RNA", at positions 28 to 507 of the family's 1533-position model. The record is from RNAcentral.
GAUGAACGCUAGCGAUAGGCUUAACACAUGCAAGUCGAGGGGCAGCAUGGUCUUAGCUUGCUAAGACUGAUGGCGACCGGCGCACGGGUGCGUAACGCGUAUGCAACUUGCCUCACAGAGGGGGAUAACCCGUCGAAAGACGGACUAAUACCGCGUACACUCCAUCUUGGGCAUCCAAGGUAGAGGAAAUGAAAUUCGCUGUGAGAUAGGCAUGCGUCCCAUUAGCUAGUUGGUGAGGUAACGGCUCACCAAGGCGACGAUGGGUAGGGGAACUGAGAGGUUGAACCCCCACACUGGUACUGAGACACGGACCAGACUACUACGGGAGGCAGCAGUGAGGAAUAUUGGUCAAUGGGCGAGAGCCUGAACCAGCCAAGUCGCGUGAAGGAUGACUGUCUUAUGGAUUGUAAACUUCUUUUAGACGGGAAUAACAAGAGUCACGUGUGACUCCCCGCAUGUACCGUAUGAAUAAGCAUCGGCUAACUCCGUG